UGCAAGUCGAACGAAGUCUUCGGACUUAGUGGCGCACGGGUGAGUAACAUGUGGGAAUCUGCCUGAAGGUUCGGAAUAACUAUGGGAAACUGUAGCUAAUACCGGAUGUGUCUGAAAAGAGAAAGAUUUAUCGCCUUCAGAUGAGCCCGCACUAGAUUAGCUAGUUGGUGAGGUAAUUGCUCCACCAAGGCUACGAUCUAUAGCUGAUUUGAGAGGAUGAUCAGCCACACUGGGACUGAGACACGGCCCAGACUCCUACGGGAGGCAGCAGUAGGGAAUAUUGGACAAUGGGGGAAACCCUGAUCCAGCAAUGCCGCGUGAGUGAAGAAGGCCUUCGGGUUGUAAAACUCUUUCAUCAAUGAUGAUAAUGACAUUAGUUGAAGAAGAAGCUCCGGCUAACUUCGUGCCAGCAGCCGCGGUAAUACGAAGGGGGCUAGCGUUGUUCGGAAUCACUGGGCGUAAAGCGUAUGUAGGCGGAUCAAAAAGUUAGAUGUGAAAUCCCUGAGCUCAACUCAGGAACUGCAUUUAAAACUAGUGAUCUAGAAAUUGGUAAGGGUUAGUAGAAUUUCCAGUGUAGAGGUGAAAUUCGUAGAUAUUGGAAAGAAUACCAGAGGCGAAGGCGACUAACUAGGCCAUUUUUGACGCUGAGAUACGAAAGCGUGGGUAGCAAACAGGAUUAGAUACCCUGGUAGUCCACGCAGUAAACGAUGAGUGCUAGUCGCUGGGACAAUAGUUUCAGUGUCGAAGCUAACGCAUUAAGCACUCCGCCUGGGAAGUACGGUCGCAAGAUUAAAACUCAAAUAAAU
RNAcentral lists this ribosomal RNA (806 nucleotides) under uncultured marine bacterium. RNAcentral describes it as "bacterial SSU rRNA". It matches the Rfam family "Bacterial small subunit ribosomal RNA", at positions 56 to 910 of the family's 1533-position model. The record is from RNAcentral.